UGAGCAAUCGAGGCUAGAGUGGCGGACGGGUGCGUAACACGUAUGCAACCUACCCUUCAGAGGGGGAUAGCUUUGGGAAACUGGAGAUAAUACCCCAUAAGAUCACGUUAUCGCAUGGUAGUGUGAUGGAAGUUUUGGCGCUGAAGGAUGGGCAUGCGUCUGAUUAGCUAGUUGGCGGGGUAACGGCCCACCAAGGCGACGAUCAGUAGCUGGUCUGAGAGGAUGAUCAGCCACACGGGCACUGAGACACGGGCCCGACUCCUACGGGAGGCAGCAGUAAGGAAUCUUGGUCAAUGGGGGGAACCCUGAACCAGCCAUGCCGCGUGCAGGAAGACGGUCCUCUGGAUUGUAAACUGCUUUUGUCGGGGAAUAAUAAGGCUCUAUAUGGGCUGAUGUCGGUACCCGAAGAAUAAGCACCGGCUAACUACGUGCCAGCAGCCGCGGUAAUACGUAGGGAGCAAGCGUUGUCCGGAUUUAUUGGGUUUAAAGGGUGCGCAGGCGGCUGUUUAAGUUAGUGGUGAAAGCGUCCUGCUUAACGGGAUACUCGCCAUUAAUACUGAACAGCUUGAGUAUACGUGAGGAAGUUGGAAUGCGUGGUGUAGCGGUGAAAUGCUUAGAUAUCACGCAGAACACCGAUUGCGAAGGCAGACUUCUGGCGUAAAACUGACGCUCAUGCACGAAAGUGUGGGGAUCAAACAGGAUUAGAUACCCUGGUAGUCCACACUGUAACCCGAUGAUCACUAGGUGUUGGGGAGCAAUCCUUAGUGCCCAAGCGAAAGCGAUAAGUGAUCCACCUGGGGAGUACGUUCGCAAGAAUGAAACUCAAAGGAAUUGACGGGGGCCCGCACAAGCGGUGGAGCAUGUGGUUUAAUUCGAUGAUACGCGAGGAACCUUACCUGGGCUAGAAUGCCUCUGACCGGCGCAAAAAGGUGUCUUUCCUUCGGGACAGAGUGCAAGGUGCUGCAUGGUUGUCGUCAGCUCGUGCCGUGAGGUGUUGGGUUAGGUCCCGCAACGAGCGCAACCCCUAUUGUUAGUUGCCAGCACAUAAUGGUGGGGACUCUAACAAGACUGCCUCCGCAAGGAGUGAGGAGGGUGGGGAUGACGUCAAAUCAUCAUGGCCCUUACGUCCAGGGCGACACACGUGCUACAAUGGCCGGUACAGCGGGAAGCCAACCUGCGAAGGUGAGCAAAUCCCUAAAAGCCGGUCUCAGUUCGGAUUGGAGUCUGCAACUCGACUCCAUGAAGUUGGAAUCGCUAGUAAUCGCGGAUCAGCCAUGCCGCGGUGAAUACGUUCCCGGGCCUUGUACACACCGCCCGUCAAGCCAUGGAAGCCGGGGGAACCUGAA
This 1346-nucleotide ribosomal RNA is filed under the name uncultured Bacteroidota bacterium. RNAcentral describes it as "bacterial SSU rRNA". It matches the Rfam family "Bacterial small subunit ribosomal RNA", at positions 76 to 1425 of the family's 1533-position model. The record is from RNAcentral. Lineage: Bacteria; Pseudomonadati; Bacteroidota.